Molecule: ribosomal RNA, 823 nt
Filed under: uncultured marine bacterium
Lineage: Bacteria
Description: bacterial SSU rRNA
Rfam family: Bacterial small subunit ribosomal RNA
Source: RNAcentral
GGAGAUGCGCUGCUACCUGCAGUCGACGAACCUUUCGGGGUUAGUGGCGGACGGGUGAGUAACGCCUGAGGAUCUGCCCUUAGGUGGGGGACAACCAUUGGAAACGAUGGCUAAUACCGCAUAUGGCGAGAGCUGAAAGCUUAAUGUGCCUGAGGAAGAGCUCCCGUCUGAUUAGCUAGUUGGUGGGGUAAAGGCUUACCAAGGCGACCAUCAGUAGCUGUUCUGAGAGGAAGAUCAGCCCCCCUGGGACUGAGACACGGCCCAAACUCCUACGGGAGGCAGCAGUGGGGAAUUUUCCGCAAUGGGCGCAAGCCUGACGGAGCAACGCCGCGUGAGGGAGGAAUGUCUGUGGAUUGUAAACCUCUUUUCUCUGUGAAGAAGAUCUGACGGUAGCAGAGGAAUCAGCAUCGGCUAACUCCGUGCCAGCAGCCGCGGUAAGACGGAGGAUGCAAGCGUUAUCCGGAAUUAUUGGGCGUAAAGCGUCCGUAGGCGGUUAUUUAAGUCAGUUGUUAAAGACUACAGCUCAACUGUGGGAGAGCAACUGAAACUGGGUGACUAGAGUAUGGUAGGGGUAGAGGGAAUUCCUAGUGUAGCGGUGAAAUGCGUAGAUAUUAGGAAGAACACCAGUGGCGAAGGCGCUCUACUGGGCCAAGACUGACGCUGAUGGACGAAAGCUAGGGGAGCGAAAGGGAUUAGAUACCCCUGUAGUCCUAGCUGUAAACGAUGGAUACUAGGUGUUGUGCGUAUCGACCCGUGCAGUACCGCAGCAAACCCGUUAAGUAUCCCGCCUGGGGAGUACGCACGCAAGUGUGAAACUCAAGGU